UACAGAGGUCUCAAGCGUUGUUCGGAUUCAUUGGGCGUAAAGGGUGUGUAGGUGGCGCGCUAAGUCGGGUGUGAAAUUUUGGAGCUUAACUCCGAAACUGCAUUCGAUACUGGCGUGCUUGAGGACUGGAGAGGAGACUGGAAUUCAUGGUGUAGCAGUGAAAUGCGUAGAUAUCGUAAGGAAGACCAGUGGCGAAGGCGGGUCUCUGGACAGUUCCUGACGCUGAGGCACGAAGGCCAGGGGAGCAAACGGG
Molecule: ribosomal RNA, 253 nt
Filed under: uncultured bacterium
Lineage: Bacteria
Description: partial 16S ribosomal RNA
Rfam family: Bacterial small subunit ribosomal RNA
Source: RNAcentral